This 1972-nucleotide long non-coding RNA is filed under the name Equus asinus (donkey). RNAcentral describes it as "lncRNA (ENSEASG00005031590.1)". The record is from RNAcentral. Lineage: Eukaryota; Metazoa; Chordata; Mammalia; Perissodactyla; Equidae.
UCCACACGGAGGAGGGUUAUUCAGCCUUCAAAAGGAAGGGAGUCCUGACACGGGCUACAGCACGGGUGAACCCCGGGGACACGAUGCUGAGCGACGUUAGCCCGUCACAGAAGGACGACUACUGCGUGAUUCCCCUCAUGUGAGGCCCCUGGAGGAGUCACAUCCACAGAGACAGGAAGGAGAACGGAGGGGCCUGGGCUGAGUGGGGAGGGGCCUGGUGUUGAAUGGGGACCCGGUCUCAGGUUGGGAAGAUGAAAAGAGCCCUGGAGACGGACAGCGGGGAGGGCCACGCGCAAUGCGGAUGUGCUCGCUGCCCCUGAACGGGACGCUUAAAAGUGGCAAAACAGUAAAUGUUAUGAAUAUUUUACUGUAAUUUUAAAAAGCAGCCCAAAGAGAUGUGAAUAUUAUGCGAAUCGCAGAUUAAGCAUUUCUUGAUCAGAAUAGUUAUUACCUUUGGUAGGUAGGAUUCCAAGAUGGUCCCCAAACCCCUAUCUUUGUAGACACCCCUCCCCUCUAAGUGUGUGGGGCCUGUGACUCCUUCUCGCUGGUGGCCGCGUGAAGGUGGCCCCCUUUCGGAGGAGUCUGGGGGAGAGACCGAGGCCGCAGACCCUCUCCGUGCAGCAGCCGCCCUGAAUCCCGCAGCCGCAGGAAACGCAUCAGCUGUGGCCUGAGAUAGCGGGCGGGGACCUGUCCCCAUGGGGCUCCGGAUGAGAACGUGGCCGACCUUCGUCUCCACUGAGGCCGGGUGACCCCCGGCUGAGACCGGCUAAGCACCGCCCGGCUCCCGGCCCAGGAAGACAGUGUGCUCGUAAACUCGGGCCGUGUGAACCGGCCAAGCUCAUGGAUGAGGACGAUCUCACUACGUCACAGAAUCGCAGAGAUUGCGUGAGGCGUGCGUGUAAGGCACACACAGUGCCCGCGAGUGCCAGCGGCUGCUGCUCUGUCGUCACCGUUCGGGGUUUUUGAAAUAAGCUAAGGCAGGCACCUUGAGAAGCAAUAUGAGUGGCUUCCGUGAAGACAUCCCAGACCUGCCGGGUCUCGUCAGCCCACUGGCCCCCUGGAGUCAACUGGUCCCAGAGCCCAGCUCCAGGGAAACAGGGUCCUGAGAACCACAGGAAAGCUGGCCAAUGCCACUGCCUCCAGGCAGCCCUCCAGUCAGAGAGGGCAAGGGAUGAGGAGGUCGUGCGCGCCCACACUCACGCGCCCUUACAGACACUCCACACUCUCAGAGACCCCCACCCGCCAGACACCCCCUCAGGCCUGGAGAGCAAGAAGGUUUUGCUUUAACCCUCUCGAGGCCAGCUCUGCUAUGACCCCAUUUCACACAGGGGGAAACCGAGACCAAACAGGGCCCGUGGUUUGGCUGGGGUCACAUGACGGGGAAGUGGCAGAGCUGGGAUUUGAACCCAGGAGGCUGGCACGGGCCGAAUCGUUGCCCCAGAUGAUGGCUUCCUCUGUGUCCGCCCAGGCAGGCGGGCGUGGAGCAGGGGCGGCUGUGGCGCCCUGUGCUGGGGGCGCUCAUGUUCUCUCUCUGCUUUUCUGGAUUUGCACUUGUGGGUGCCGAGUCAGCCUCGCGCGGUUGAGCCGUGUGGUGACCGAGCUCUGGAGCCGAGGGGACGGUCGGGAGCAGACCGCCCGUGCUGAGCCCCCUCGCAGGAAGCCCUCUGGCUCUGGGCCCGGAAUUGUGCAGUGUGGCGUCCAGACAACCUCCCGGGCCGCCCUCAGCACCGUGGGUGUGCAGAGGCCCCGUUCAGGACACCGUGGGGGUGGUCCCCACAAAUGGCCUGUUUAGCCGUUUUCCUGAAGCUUCCUGGCCGUGGAGCUGAGCACCUCAGCCUGACUUGUCUGGUCUGUCUGGGGCGCCCGUCAUCCCCAAGGCCCCAGCCGUCCUCCACACCUCUCGGGGUUUCAGGACUGAAGGACCAGGGACCUGCCCUCCCACCCAGAGAGGCCACCUCGAGGAAGGACAUCC